RNAcentral lists this ribosomal RNA (791 nucleotides) under uncultured bacterium. Its description in RNAcentral is "bacterial SSU rRNA". It matches the Rfam family "Bacterial small subunit ribosomal RNA", at positions 8 to 796 of the family's 1533-position model. The record is from RNAcentral.
AGAGUUUGAUCCUGGCUCAGGAUGAACGCUGGCGGCGUGCCUAACACAUGCAAGUCGAGCGUGAUUCCAGUGAGUGGAGACUUCGGUCAAAGCGAGCUGGAUGAAAGCGGCGGACGGGUGAGUAACGCGUGGGCAACCUGCCCCAUACACGAGGAUAGCCGCUGGAAACGGUGAUUAAUACUCGAUAAGACCCCGCUGCCACAUGGCAGAGAGGCCAAAGAUUUAUCGGUAUGGGAUGGGCCCGCGUCUGAUUAGCUGGUUGGUGAGGUAACGGCUCACCAAGGCGACGAUCAGUAACCGACCUGAGAGGGCGGACGGUCACACUGGAACUGAGACACGGUCCAGACUCCUACGGGAGGCAGCAGUGGGGAAUAUUGCACAAUGGGCGCAAGCCUGAUGCAGCAACGCCGCGUGAGUGAAGAAGGCCUUCGGGUCGUAAAGCUCUGUCCUGUGGGACGAAACAAAUGACGGUACCACAGGAGGAAGCCCCGGCUAACUACGUGCCAGCAGCCGCGGUAAUACGUAGGGGGCAAGCGUUAUCCGGAAUCACUGGGCGUAAAGGGUGCGUAGGUGGUCCAUCAAGUCAGAAGUGAAAGGCAGCGGCUUAACCGCUGUAAGCUUUUGAAACUGACGGACUUGAGUGCAGGAGAGGUAAGUGGAAUUCCUAGUGUAGCGGUGAAAUGCGUAGAUAUUAGGAGGAACACCAGUGGCGAAGGCGACUUACUGGACUGUUACUGACACUGAGGCACGAAAGCGUGGGGAGCAAACAGGAUUAGAUACCCUGGUAGUCC